RNAcentral lists this ribosomal RNA (178 nucleotides) under Methanobacteriota archaeon. RNAcentral describes it as "Euryarchaeota archaeon partial 16S ribosomal RNA". It matches the Rfam family "Archaeal small subunit ribosomal RNA", at positions 1301 to 1478 of the family's 1478-position model. Lineage: Archaea; Methanobacteriati; Methanobacteriota. The record is from RNAcentral.
CGGGUCAACAUCCCGCGGUGAAUAUGCCCCUGCUCCUUGCACACACCGCCCGUCAAACCACCUUAGUUGGGUCUGGACGAGGGUUUGUCUUAUGACACGCUCGAAUCUGGGUUCAGCGAGGAGGGUUAAGUCGUAACAAGGUAUCCGUAGGGGAACCUGCGGAUGGAUCACCUCCUAA